CCAGCAGCCGCGGUAAUUCCAGCUCCAAUAGCGUAUAUUAAAGUUGUUGCAGUUAAAAAGCUCGUAGUUGAACCUUGGGCCUGGCUGGCCGGUCCGCCUCACCGCGUGUACUGGUCCGGCCGGGCCUUCCUUCUGGAGAUCCUCAUGCCCUUCACUGGGUGUGUGGGGACCAGGACUUUUACUGUGAACAAAUUAGAGUGUUCAAAGCAGGCUUUGCUCGAAUACAUUAGCAUGGAAUAAUAGAAUAGGACGUGCGGUCCUAUUUUGUUGGUUUCUAGGACCGCCGUAAUGAUUAAUAGGGAUAGUCGGGGGCAUCAGUAUUCAAUUGUCAGAGGUGAAAUUCUUGGAUUUAUUGAAGACUAACUACUGCGAAAGCAUUUGCCAAGGAUGUUUUCAUUAAUCAGGAACGAAAGUUAGGGGAUCGAAGACGAUCAGAUACCGUCGUAGUCUUAACCGUAAACUAUGCCGACUAGGGAUCGGGCGAUGUU
This 488-nucleotide ribosomal RNA is filed under the name Pleosporales sp. ES167. RNAcentral describes it as "SSU rRNA". It matches the Rfam family "Eukaryotic small subunit ribosomal RNA", at positions 567 to 1064 of the family's 1831-position model. The record is from RNAcentral. Lineage: Eukaryota; Fungi; Ascomycota; Dothideomycetes; Pleosporales.